This is a long non-coding RNA of Eriocheir sinensis (Chinese mitten crab), 1110 nucleotides long. RefSeq lists it as uncharacterized. The transcript has 6 exons. The record is from RefSeq and is a predicted model, not a curated record. Lineage: Eukaryota; Metazoa; Arthropoda; Malacostraca; Decapoda; Varunidae.
CUGUCAUGGCGCCGUCAGUCCCUCCUCGGGUGAAUUUAUUUUAUACUUUUUCCUUUUUCUCCCGCUUAAUGGCCUCCCUCAGCAGUGCCAUGCCACCUGCUGAUACCCAGGUCCUUCUGCUUUAAUUAGAGUACCAGGUGAGCUCGUAAUGACAGGUAAAUAAGGUAAUAAUGACGAAUAUAUGUGGACCUGUCAUGGCGCCUCCAGUCCGUCUUCGGGUGAAUUUAUUUUAUAUUUUUUCCUUUUUCUCCCCCUUAAUGGCCUCCCUCAGCAGUGCCACGCCGCCUGCUUAUACCCAGGUCCUUCUGCUUUAAUUAGAGUAGCAGCUGUGCCGGGCUGUCCUGAGGGGCCUGACAAUGUUGAGGAGAGGGUAGCCACUCCUUGCAGACCUCAUACCUAGCGACUACAUGGAUUUUUUUUUGGUUCCUGAAUGCAGUGCAGUAACAAAUGUCUUCCGGAAAUUAGCAGAGGGAGUCAUUUGUCUCCUGUAAGUGGUCAAGGAGAGCAGAGACCCUUGUUAGGUAGGUUACAUUAGGUUAAGUUGGGUCAGAUUUGUUUUCAUUUAUUGGGCAUGCUCAAAUAUGCAGUGUGGGAUGGGUCAAACAGUCACUAUAGGUCUUGACUCAGAAAACUCAUCUAUGCUUCCUUACUAAUGAGACUUUCCAUACAGCGAAGUGAGGUCAUUCUGUGUUGAUUUAUACCAUACGUCACUGGCUGUCAUGUGUUUGAAGAUACCCUAAACUUAACCUAACAAAACCCCAAACAGUCACUAUAGGUCUUGACUCAGAAAAUUCAUCUAUGCUUCCUUACUAAUGAGACUUUCUAUACAACAAAGUGAGGUCAUUCUGUGUUGAUUUAUACCAUAAGGUGCUGGCUAUCAUGUGUUUGAAGAUACCCUAAACUUAACCUAACAAAACCCCAAACAGUCACUAUAGGUCUUGACUCAGAAAACUCAUCCAUGCUUUCUUACUAAUGAGACUUUCUAUACAACAAAGUGAGGUCAUUCUGUGUUGAUUUAUGCCAUAAGGUGCUGGCUAUCAUGUGUUUGAAGAUACCCUAAACUUAACCUAACAAAACCCCAAACAGUCACUAUAGGUCUUGACUCAGAAA